Molecule: ribosomal RNA, 772 nt
Filed under: fungal sp.
Lineage: Eukaryota; Fungi
Description: eukaryotic LSU rRNA
Rfam family: Eukaryotic large subunit ribosomal RNA (bases 486-772)
Source: RNAcentral
CGGAGGGAUCAUUACCGAGUUUACAACUCCCAAACCCCUGUGAACAUACCAAUUGUUGCCUCGGCGGAUCAGCCCGCUCCCGGUAAAACGGGACGGCCCGCCAGAGGACCCCUAAACUCUGUUUCUAUAUGUAACUUCUGAGUAAAACCAUAAAUAAAUCAAAACUUUCAACAACGGAUCUCUUGGUUCUGGCAUCGAUGAAGAACGCAGCAAAAUGCGAUAAGUAAUGUGAAUUGCAGAAUUCAGUGAAUCAUCGAAUCUUUGAACGCACAUUGCGCCCGCCAGUAUUCUGGCGGGCAUGCCUGUUCGAGCGUCAUUUCAACCCUCAAGCCCCCGGGUUUGGUGUUGGGGAUCGGCGAGCCCUUGCGGCAAGCCGGCCCCGAAAUCUAGUGGCGGUCUCGCUGCAGCUUCCAUUGCGUAGUAGUAAAACCCUCGCAACUGGUACGCGGCGCGGCCAAGCCGUUAAACCCCCAACUUCUGAAUGUUGACCUCGGAUCAGGUAGGAAUACCCGCUGAACUUAAGCAUAUCAAUAAGCGGAGGAAAAGAAACCAACAGGGAUUGCCCUAGUAACGGCGAGUGAAGCGGCAACAGCUCAAAUUUGAAAUCUGGCUCUCGGGCCCGAGUUGUAAUUUGUAGAGGAUACUUUUGAUGCGGUGCCUUCCGAGUUCCCUGGAACGGGACGCCAUAGAGGGUGAGAGCCCCGUCUGGUUGGAUGCCAAAUCUCUGUAAAGUUCCUUCGACGAGUCGAGUAGUUUGGGAAUGCUGCUCUAA